This 305-nucleotide ribosomal RNA is filed under the name uncultured bacterium. RNAcentral describes it as "bacterial SSU rRNA". It matches the Rfam family "Bacterial small subunit ribosomal RNA", at positions 338 to 642 of the family's 1533-position model. The record is from RNAcentral.
CCUACGGGGGGCAGCAGUGGGGAAUAUUGCACAAUGGGCGCAAGCCUGAUGCAGCGACGCCGCGUGCGGGAUGGAGGCCUUCGGGUUGUAAACCGCUUUUGUUCAAGGGCAAGGCACGGUCUUUGGCCGUGUUGAGUGGAUUGUUCGAAUAAGCACCGGCUAACUACGUGCCAGCAGCCGCGGUAAUACGUAGGGUGCAAGCGUUAUCCGGAUUUAUUGGGCGUAAAGGGCUCGUAGGCGGUUCGUCGCGUCCGGUGUGAAAGUCCAUCGCUUAACGGUGGAUCCGCGCCGGGUACGGGCGGGCU